This 2903-nucleotide ribosomal RNA is filed under the name Escherichia coli. Its description in RNAcentral is "23S ribosomal RNA". It matches the Rfam family "Bacterial large subunit ribosomal RNA". The record is from RNAcentral. Lineage: Bacteria; Pseudomonadati; Pseudomonadota; Gammaproteobacteria; Enterobacterales; Enterobacteriaceae.
UUAAGCGACUAAGCGUACACGGUGGAUGCCCUGGCAGUCAGAGGCGAUGAAGGACGUGCUAAUCUGCGAUAAGCGUCGGUAAGGUGAUAUGAACCGUUAUAACCGGCGAUUUCCGAAUGGGGAAACCCAGUGUGAUUCGUCACACUAUCAUUAACUGAAUCCAUAGGUUAAUGAGGCGAACCGGGGGAACUGAAACAUCUAAGUACCCCGAGGAAAAGAAAUCAACCGAGAUUCCCCCAGUAGCGGCGAGCGAACGGGGAGCAGCCCAGAGCCUGAAUCAGUGUGUGUGUUAGUGGAAGCGUCUGGAAAGGCGUGCGAUACAGGGUGACAGCCCCGUACACAAAAAUGCACAUGCUGUGAGCUCGAUGAGUAGGGCGGGACACGUGGUAUCCUGUCUGAAUAUGGGGGGACCAUCCUCCAAGGCUAAAUACUCCUGACUGACCGAUAGUGAACCAGUACCGUGAGGGAAAGGCGAAAAGAACCCCGGCGAGGGGAGUGAAAAAGAACCUGAAACCGUGUACGUACAAGCAGUGGGAGCACAGAGCAAUCUGUGUGACUGCGUACCUUUUGUAUAAUGGGUCAGCGACUUAUAUUCUGUAGCAAGGUUAACCGAAUAGGGGAGCCGAAGGGAAACCGAGUCUUAACUGGGCGUUAAGUUGCAGGGUAUAGACCCGAAACCCGGUGAUCUAGCCAUGGGCAGGUUGAAGGUUGGGUAACACUAACUGGAGGACCGAACCGACUAAUGUUGAAAAAUUAGCGGAUGACUUGUGGCUGGGGGUGAAAGGCCAAUCAAACCGGGAGAUAGCUGGUUCUCCCCGAAAGCUAUUUAGGUAGCGCCUCGUGAAUUCAUCUCCGGGGGUAGAGCACUGUUUCGGCAAGGGGGUCAUCCCGACUUACCAACCCGAUGCAAACUGCGAAUACCGGAGAAUGUUAUCACGGGAGACACACGGCGGGUGCUAACGUCCGUCGUGAAGAGGGAAACAACCCAGACCGCCAGCUAAGGUCCCAAAGUCAUGGUUAAGUGGGAAACGAUGUGGGAAGGCCCAGACAGCCAGGAUGUUGGCUUAGAAGCAGCCAUCAUUUAAAGAAAGCGUAAUAGCUCACUGGUCGAGUCGGCCUGCGCGGAAGAUGUAACGGGGCUAAACCAUGCACCGAAGCUGCGGCAGCGACGCUUAUGCGUUGUUGGGUAGGGGAGCGUUCUGUAAGCCUGCGAAGGUGUGCUGUGAGGCAUGCUGGAGGUAUCAGAAGUGCGAAUGCUGACAUAAGUAACGAUAAAGCGGGUGAAAAGCCCGCUCGCCGGAAGACCAAGGGUUCCUGUCCAACGUUAAUCGGGGCAGGGUGAGUCGACCCCUAAGGCGAGGCCGAAAGGCGUAGUCGAUGGGAAACAGGUUAAUAUUCCUGUACUUGGUGUUACUGCGAAGGGGGGACGGAGAAGGCUAUGUUGGCCGGGCGACGGUUGUCCCGGUUUAAGCGUGUAGGCUGGUUUUCCAGGCAAAUCCGGAAAACUAAGGCUGAGGCGUGAUGACGAGGCACUACGGUGCUGAAGCAACAAAUGCCCUGCUUCCAGGAAAAGCCUCUAAGCAUCAGGUAACAUCAAAUCGUACCCCAAACCGACACAGGUGGUCAGGUAGAGAAUACCAAGGCGCUUGAGAGAACUCGGGUGAAGGAACUAGGCAAAAUGGUGCCGUAACUUCGGGAGAAGGCACGCUGAUAUGUAGGUGAAGUCCCUCGCGGAUGGAGCUGAAAUCAGUCGAAGAUACCAGCUGGCUGCAACUGUUUAUUAAAAACACAGCACUGUGCAAACACGAAAGUGGACGUAUACGGUGUGACGCCUGCCCGGUGCCGGAAGGUUAAUUGAUGGGGUUAGCGCAAGCGAAGCUCUUGAUCGAAGCCCCGGUAAACGGCGGCCGUAACUAUAACGGUCCUAAGGUAGCGAAAUUCCUUGUCGGGUAAGUUCCGACCUGCACGAAUGGCGUAAUGAUGGCCAGGCUGUCUCCACCCGAGACUCAGUGAAAUUGAACUCGCUGUGAAGAUGCAGUGUACCCGCGGCAAGACGGAAAGACCCCGUGAACCUUUACUAUAGCUUGACACUGAACAUUGAGCCUUGAUGUGUAGGAUAGGUGGGAGGCUUUGAAGUGUGGACGCCAGUCUGCAUGGAGCCGACCUUGAAAUACCACCCUUUAAUGUUUGAUGUUCUAACGUUGACCCGUAAUCCGGGUUGCGGACAGUGUCUGGUGGGUAGUUUGACUGGGGCGGUCUCCUCCUAAAGAGUAACGGAGGAGCACGAAGGUUGGCUAAUCCUGGUCGGACAUCAGGAGGUUAGUGCAAUGGCAUAAGCCAGCUUGACUGCGAGCGUGACGGCGCGAGCAGGUGCGAAAGCAGGUCAUAGUGAUCCGGUGGUUCUGAAUGGAAGGGCCAUCGCUCAACGGAUAAAAGGUACUCCGGGGAUAACAGGCUGAUACCGCCCAAGAGUUCAUAUCGACGGCGGUGUUUGGCACCUCGAUGUCGGCUCAUCACAUCCUGGGGCUGAAGUAGGUCCCAAGGGUAUGGCUGUUCGCCAUUUAAAGUGGUACGCGAGCUGGGUUUAGAACGUCGUGAGACAGUUCGGUCCCUAUCUGCCGUGGGCGCUGGAGAACUGAGGGGGGCUGCUCCUAGUACGAGAGGACCGGAGUGGACGCAUCACUGGUGUUCGGGUUGUCAUGCCAAUGGCACUGCCCGGUAGCUAAAUGCGGAAGAGAUAAGUGCUGAAAGCAUCUAAGCACGAAACUUGCCCCGAGAUGAGUUCUCCCUGACUCCUUGAGAGUCCUGAAGGAACGUUGAAGACGACGACGUUGAUAGGCCGGGUGUGUAAGCGCAGCGAUGCGUUGAGCUAACCGGUACUAAUGAACCGUGAGGCUUAACCU